AUCUGGGUCCGAACAAAUGGAAAGAAGAGUUAAAACACGGUCCAGAUUUUUUGCCAUGUUACCGUGAAAAGGAUUCACAAGGUUCAUCAGAGUUAGCUACCAAGCUUGCUCACUAUCAGAAGAUGUUAAGUAUUUCUGAAAAGAAAAAGAAAAAAAAUGUAUCUUGUCUGCUGAUGAAAAAGUAAAUGCCAGAAAAGUUCAGCUAAUUAACAUAUGCUCUCAUAAAGUGGCUAGGUAUCAUUACGCUCAUAUUUCAUGUGGCAUCGUGUGAACAUUGAUCAAGAGCCAAAAUGGAUGUGACUUAAGUUCCCGUUGCUAGGGAAAAGCAUCUGUUCCGCAUCAUUCGUUCUUGGAGGUUACUGGAUGAAAUCGAUUGCUUUGGUCGCUAGCAGACUGACACAGUACACAAACGCGCUAACUGCUAGUAAAACUUGAAAAAUGUAACAAAAUGGAAAAUUUCACCUUGAAAGUAAAAUAAACCUUCUCCAUUUCUGGUUUGUGUUGCUCUUUGCUCAGUAUCACUACAGUAUGGCCAAGAGUUGGAUAGUGUUCAUAGACAAGUCUGUGAUUUGCAUUCAGGCUAUGAUUGCAGCAGUAUGCUAGCAACCAGCCUUUAUCAAAAGCAAGCUAGCCAAGCUACAAUUAAAAGUUAGUAUUAGCCGAGCUAAAGUCUCCCAUUUUUUGAUGCCUGUGCACGCUACCGUAUCAUUGUCAUGAGCAAAGUGAAGCGAGGGAGCCAUAAUUCAGUUCAGCAACAUGUGACAUCAUCCAAUGCAAGUGAAUGAGAAGCAAGAGCGUUGAAGCCUGAAAUUAAUCGGUGUCAAUGCUGCCUAACAUCUGUGUGUGCAAAUGGUGUAAAUGCCACCAUAUAAUUCAGCUACCUUCCAUCUAAAACAUGUUUUAAAUAUUAAACAUGUAUAUGUGAUUAAUGGCUUUAAAUGUAUCUUACAUUUAGUAUUUGUAUUAACAAUGAUUAACCUCGUUUUGUCUCCUGUUUUAUCAGCUAAUAAACUAAGAACAUUCCUGGUUGCUCCCAGGCUUGGAAACAAUAUUAACAGACAAUAAAGACAAAAACUGAUUGCGGGUUUAUAGUAUGGUGAACCUGUGUACGGCUGUGAAGGUGAAGUCUUGCAGCAAAUGUGCUAUAUGCUGCUCGAAAAUGAACUUUCGCAAGAGAGCGUUUCAGUUGUUUGUUCAUCUGCCAGGUUUACGUCUCUCACGGACCAUUUGUUCUUUGACUGGAUUUUUCUUUCCCCCCCGACUCUCGUCAGCAAAAUAAAGAAACACAAAAAUAUGUAAUGAAAUAAGCAUUGCCUGUAGCUUGGAUACUAAACUCUCAUGAGGGCGAAUGCUUAUGAAUGCUGACUGAGAACUAAAUGUGCCAGUUCACUCAGCAAAUCUACACUCAUAUACAGCUUGCAGCUUUGUUUUGUGCUAAAUUCAAACAGUGAAGUCCGAUGGCUGGACUUCAAACACCCCCACAAGACUGGCCUCGGUGGGAUUUAUCACACGCUGUGGCAUAAAGGUAAUCUAUAUUAAUAUUUUAUUCUCAGCCCCAGAGUACCUCACUAAGCAGCCAUCAGGGAGAAGUAAGUUAGCCAGACAGGCUUCCCUUAGAUGAAUGGUCUCAUUUUGUGCUGGAUGUGAGAGGCAGAUAAACAACAGUCAUGAUAAAUGUGGAGCCAGUGUAAUGGAAAAUCUGGUGCCCAUGACAAUCAGUAUGAUCUCUGAGGCAGAAAAUGAACAAAGUGACUGGUCUGCACACAGAGUAAAUCACACCGCUGCUCCUUUACAUUACAAUGUGCUACUGUGAGUUAAUGUUGUUUAUUAGCUUGCUACCAUAACCGUGAGUUUCACUGGCAGUUUGCCAUAUUAACGUGUCCUCUGGAUUUUAGCGAUUAUAUAACAAAGAGAAGAAGAGCAUUACUCAUCUAUUUUACGUUCUGUUUUUUGGAAGUUGUUAUGAUGUUUUGUUUGUAGUGGCAAAGAGAGGAGAGUGAGGAAGCCCACUACAUAUUCAUGCUGGGGUUGGUGAAGUUUUAAGUGCAAAAUAAUCAAGGUUUUUUGUGGAAAUAUACCUGUAUAAGGAAAGAUUCACGCUCCUCUGUCACAAAUACUGAAAAUCUAAAAAAAUGAACUGUUCUAUACUUCUUUCUCGCCUUCUCUGUUGAGCCCUCCAACAUAAAGAUGUUUGUGUCAUAAAUCUACUGCAUGGCUUGUACAGGAGAGCUUGUAAUAAUACAAUACAUACACAAAGUAUGGCACUUUUAUUUUACCAUUAAAAAUCAGGCGUCAUCUGACCCUAAAAUAGAUAGUUAUCAGCUUGGUGUAGCUUCAUUGUGAAUUUUAUUUCGUUGUGUAUUUGUCCAGCCUCUAAGGCUUUACUGUUUUGGUUUGCUCUUAUGGUAUUGUGUUUGGCCACAGCUACAGUGCAGAAAACAGCAAGAGGCAAUCGUUAAAGACAGUAUAUAUAUAUAUAUGUAUAUAUAUAUAUAUAUAUUGUUGCUAAAGAGCAACCGUUUUCAAGUGAAAGAUAGAAAUGGUAGGGGCCAGAAACAAAGCUGCUUUAAAAAUGGGUACAUAAUCCCUGGUAUGAAUAAAUAUAGACUCUAAAUGAAUACUUAAAACUCUGACAUGAUGUCCUGGUUGUUUAUUUUUUAAGCAGUUCCGUAGAGAUCAUUUACACUUAAAAAAAACAAACUUUUAAUCCUUUUUAAUGAUUCUGCGACUGUAUUAAAAGGAAAUUUCUUAGCCAUCUUAGCAAUUUGGUCAUGCUAGUAGCCUGGUGUUUGCUAACAUUGGCUAGAAAUACUUCUUGGUUUUAGGUGUCAAAACUGACCUUGAGACAAGAUGCCUACAUAAACAGAAUACCCAAUAAUGUGGCGAAUUGGGCUAAUUGUUACCUGAAUAGCCAACUGAGAUGAAUGACUGUUUACCUAAUGUAGCAGUUAGCUGGCUAAUCUUAGCUUGCUUCUCUGCUAGCAAGUGAGUUUUUAUUUGGUUGGAGACUGUGGCCAUUUCUCAAAAUGCGUACUUGUGUGUACUUGCAUUCUCGUGGACUUGUGAUACGUCAUCAGUCGCAGACCAAGUACUGUUCCAAUUCAAAGUACGCAUCAAACCAAGUACGCUCAAAAUUCCCAGAUGUGUUCUCGCUCCACCCAUUUUAUCGAGCAUGCAUUGGUGGUGACUUGUGUAGCCAAAUAUCCUAGAAUUGCAUUUCGUCCAAAAAUGCGGCAAUGGCAGAGGAAAGUGGCCAAAUAGUUUAAAAUAUUACUCUUUCUGGGUCACAAAAUAAACUUUUAAGAUAUUUAUCAGGCGAGAAUGUAACUGUAUAAACUUUGGCUGAGAUUAAAGUUAAGCUUCAUAACUGGAUCGUUUUAUUUAAUAUUGAAGUCUUACUUGGAGAGCUGUCAGCAUAUUUUGAAUUUCACCCGUCAUAUCCCCUUAUGUAAAAUGUUCUGUUCUUAAUUAAACAGCUGACUCUGAAUUAAAUUUAACAUUAAAAAUAUUUAAAUUCAGGAGGAAGCAAUUUCACCGGGAGCAAAAACAGCAUGUGUUACGUGGAGAUCCUGAAGGCUGCUCCAAAAAUCUAAUUUUAUUUUAAAUAUUUGCUCAAUUCUCUUCCAAACCCCAGCUGUCUACUGUUAGUUUUGAGUGUCUACUAAAAAAAAAUUAAACGCGUUCUAACAUGUCACCUGUUUAUUUUUAUUCAGGCAUACAUGUAUACUGUUUUUAUUAAUAGAGAGAUUAAGCGUGUGUUUCAGUCGUAGUGAUUGUGCUUAACUGUAUGAAGCUUAUUCGACAUUAUGAUACGUAAAAGCAAAUUUUGGCAAGUUGCAAAUGUUAAUCACAGUUCAAUUAAGAGAUGAUGACAGUAAAAACUCCGGGGCGGUGAUGUCAUCAAGUACACUGCCGUGCCAAUUGUAGAGUGAUCGUGCCGCAUUCUCGGGAAGUCCAGACUUCUGUGUUAACUUACAAAGUACAGACUAGCAAGGAAACGAGUACAGACUGGCACACAGUUGAGUUUUGAGAAAUGAUUAACAGGCCACAUUUAUAUGCUGAUGCUAGCUAAUAUUGGUCAGAGAUUCUCCAACUAGAUAUCAAACACCUUCACGUGAUUGCUUUACUUGGUAGUAGAUACGGCCAAAGUGGACGGUAGUUUCCCAGGAACACACUGACUUGUCUACAAACACUUGAGAGCCACUCUGAGCAUUAAUGAAGCUGUGGAAACAAUGACAGAGACAGGAAAUCGAGACUGUAUGCAAAAGUUGUGCAUUUUUAAAUGUGUUGGUUGCAGCACAUUUUCCAUUAUUGCCUCUAGUUAAUAAACAUUUGCAGGCAAAUCAAGUCACCAUUUUUCUUGCAAGCUACAAGUAACCGCGACAAUCUGCUAGUCCAUGUUGUACUUUUUGGUUAUGCUAAAUUUAAGAAAGGAGAAUUAUCCAAGGUAUGCUAAACUGGCCAUCUAUUGUACUGUGGAUGCUCUUACAUACAACCAUCUUUUAACUUACAUUUCAACCCAUUAAAACAGUGAUUCCCAAAGUGUGAGCUGGGACCCUCUUCAGCCAUGAAGGUCCUGCAGGUGGGCUGUAGUUUACUUUAAAAGAAUUUACUAAAUAAAUUAACUUUAAAAAGUAAAUUAAAGAUUUUGGUUGGUUGUAAUAUUACUCAUUACUCUGACCUAAGUUUAUUUUGUGUCUUAUGGUUGUGUAGCAUUAGCAGUUUAUAACCAACUACCUGUGUUGCUUAUGUUUUUUGAAUAACAAUUUCAAGGACAUACAUCACUUUCUCUUGCAUUUUGAGUAGAAUGAAGAUUUAAGAUGAUGUUGGCUUCAUGGGAUCUUCUCUUUUUUAAGUGAGCCGCAGCACUCCUGACUCUGGGAAUGUCUUCAUUAAAACACUGGCACUAGAGAAGCAUUGAAUAUAUGAAAAACACUGUGAAAGAUAAACCACUUCCCGAACAGCAGUGUGUGAGACCCAUGUUUACAGGCUUCUGCAGAUCUGAUAGCAAAUCAGUUUGAUAGGUACUACACAGAGUAUGCUGUGAAUAAAUCUUCCUUGGCUUUGAAUCUACCCCAGACUUUAAUCCUGAAGCAUCGCUCACCAGCUGGAGAGCAGCCUGCCUGGAUGCCCAUGCAGUUUGCAGCAGCGGUUGACAUGGCACAGAGGGUAUCUUGCAGUGCCAGGAGGGAGGACUCACAGAUGGUGAACAUUACAUAAUUGCAGCUCAGAGAGUAAUUGAAGACGCUGUGGACCAUGGAGUCUGUAUUCAGGCUGAGUGCUGGGUGUGUUUAUCUCUCACACUACAUAUUGUCAAGUUUACAAAGUUAAUUUGUUAGAUUUGAGCUAUACAGAAGAAAAGCUUUCUCUUUGUUUUCAGUGAUAGUCUUCCUUUCUCUCCUCCCUGAAGCAUCCAUGGGUCACCUUCCUCAUCGGCACAUACAUUUACUCACGCCUGACCUUUUUCCUGCCAUGCACAUGAUCCAGAUAAAACUCUAACCUUGCUUGCUUCCACAUUUAGUUUCCUUCCCGCAGCACUUUAGCAGCUCUGUUUCAGUUGGGUCAUAACUCACCACCUUUCUGUCUCCCCUCGUUUCUUA
Molecule: long non-coding RNA, 5600 nt
Organism: Oreochromis niloticus (Nile tilapia)
Lineage: Eukaryota; Metazoa; Chordata; Actinopteri; Cichliformes; Cichlidae
Exons: 3
Source: RefSeq, a predicted model, not a curated record